Molecule: unclassified non-coding RNA, 331 nt
Filed under: Hevea brasiliensis (rubber tree)
Lineage: Eukaryota; Viridiplantae; Streptophyta; Magnoliopsida; Malpighiales; Euphorbiaceae
Source: RNAcentral
GACUACAAGACAAAGAACAUUUUUAGGAGAUUGUGAUCUGAUUUGGGAGGGCUUCUUUUUAUGGUAUUGUAAUUUAAACAUUUAUAGAAAGACUAAGGGAAUUAUCCAAGCCAAGCAUGGUUCAUUGGGUAGUAGCCAUGCUUGGCAGAAACUCACCUCUAAAAGGAGAGUCUCUCUCAUUUUGCUGGAGAUUUUUGAGAUUGUAUUUUCUUCCUCCAUUGUAGAGAAGCUUCAAGCUCUCAAACUGAAACUCUUGUGAGGUUAUGUUCUUUGCUAAGUUUCACCUAGAACUUAGACUUAUUACAAGUUGUCACUUGUAAUAUCUUAGGCU